CCUACGGGGGGCUGCAGUGGGGAAUAUUGGACAAUGGGCGAAAGCCUGAUCCAGCCAUGCCGCGUGAGUGAUGAAGGCCUUAGGGUUGUAAAGCUCUUUUACCUGGGAAGAUAAUGACGGUACCCGGAGAAUAAGCCCCGGCUAACUUCGUGCCAGCAGCCGCGGUAAUACGAAGGGGGCUAGCGUUGCUCGGAAUCACUGGGCGUAAAGGGCGCGUAGGCGGCCAUUCAAGUCAGAGGUGAAAGCCCAAGGCUCAACCUUGGAAUUGCCUUUGAUACUGUUUGGCUUGAGACCGGAAGAGGUUAGUGGAACUGCGAGUGUAGAGGUGAAAUUCGUAGAUAUUCGCAAGAACACCAGUGGCGAAGGCGGCUAACUGGUCCGGUACUGACGCUGAGGCGCGAAAGCGUGGGGAGCAAACAGGAUUAGAUACCCUUGUAGUC
This 440-nucleotide ribosomal RNA is filed under the name Salmonella enterica subsp. enterica. Its description in RNAcentral is "bacterial SSU rRNA". It matches the Rfam family "Bacterial small subunit ribosomal RNA", at positions 338 to 795 of the family's 1533-position model. Lineage: Bacteria; Pseudomonadati; Pseudomonadota; Gammaproteobacteria; Enterobacterales; Enterobacteriaceae. The record is from RNAcentral.